Molecule: ribosomal RNA, 460 nt
Filed under: uncultured bacterium
Lineage: Bacteria
Description: partial 16S ribosomal RNA
Rfam family: Bacterial small subunit ribosomal RNA
Source: RNAcentral
CCUACGGGUGGCAGCAGUGAGGAAUAUUGGUCAAUGGGCGGAAGCCUGAACCAGCCAAGUAGCGUGAAGGAUGACUGCCCUAUGGGUUGUAAACUGCUUUUAUAUGGGAAUAACGUGCAGUACGUGUACGGCUUUGCAUGUACCUUAUGAAUAAGGACCGGCUAAUUCCGUGCCAGCAGCCGCGGUAAUACGGAGGGUCCGGGCGUUAUCCGGAUUUAUUGGGUUUAAAGGGAGCGUAGGCGGGUUGUUAAGUGAGCUGUGAAAGUUCGGGGCUCAACCGGAAACUUGCAGUUGAUACUGGCAUGCUUGAGUCCAGGAGAGGUAGGCGGAAUUCGUGGUGUAGCGGUGAAAUGCUUAGAUAUCACGAAGAACUCCGAUUGCGAAGGCAGCUUGCUGGACUGUAACUGACGCUGAUGCUCGAAAGUGUGGGUAUCAAACAGGAUUAGAUACCCCAGUAGUC